GCCCUCGUGGCCUAAUGGAUAAGGCAUCGGUUUCCUAAACCGGGGAUUGUGGGUUUGACUCCCACCGAGGGUA
This 73-nucleotide transfer RNA is filed under the name Stegodyphus dumicola. RNAcentral describes it as "tRNA-Arg". It matches the Rfam family "tRNA". Rfam says of the family: Transfer RNA (tRNA) molecules are approximately 80 nucleotides in length. Lineage: Eukaryota; Metazoa; Arthropoda; Arachnida; Araneae; Eresidae. The record is from RNAcentral.